GUCAUCAACUGCUCUGCCAGCUUCAGUAUUUAAGCCCUGGCUCAUCCCUCCACUCUCUGCUAGAUCGUUCAGUCUGCUGUGUGGUACAAAAGUCACAGCAACGUUCAGCCCCUUCCUUGUUGCCUCUUUCAUGUUUGGAUCAUCAUACCCACUUCAGUCCAGCUCUGCCACCAGGUCACUACUGGCCUUCUGCUUUCUAUUUGGAUCAUUACCUCAUCGCCUGUCGAGCUCCACCAAAAACCCCAAUCACCAACUGGAUCGAAUGGCCCUGGAACACUCAUCGAUUCAGCUCCCCCCCAAAACAUUUUUAAAAACUCCUGUUAUGGUUAAAACUGGACUUGGGUGUGGGAAAACUAUCAAACCUGCGAGCAAACUUAUUGCAAAUAUAAGGCUUUCAUUUUUUUGAUCAUUGUAAGUUGAAAUGGGAUGAAGUGGCAUGCCAAUGUGUUCUCAUUCGCAACAAGUCACAUACGGAUGGAAGGGUCAGGGCCUUUUUGGCAUUUUUUAACAUACUGGAUACCCCAUUAGUGUCAAUUUUCAACAUGUAGGGUACGAUGAGUGAAGCGCUACAUUUAUUAAAGGCAACAGUGUCACUAGGAGGUGGUUGGAUGCAAGCGUACAAAGCGCACAAAUGUCACACCAGAGACGGGGGUUCGCAUCCAGAUUCCUGUCUUUGGUUAGGUUUAGGCAACAAAAGUGCUUUGUUUAAGGUUGGGAAAGAUUGUGGUUUUGGUUAAGUCUAAAUAAACAUGUUGUGUCUGA
Xiphias gladius (swordfish) is the source of this 762-nucleotide long non-coding RNA. RefSeq lists it as uncharacterized. Lineage: Eukaryota; Metazoa; Chordata; Actinopteri; Istiophoriformes; Xiphiidae. The transcript has 2 exons. The record is from RefSeq and is a predicted model, not a curated record.